This 1874-nucleotide small RNA is filed under the name Cryptococcus neoformans H99. RNAcentral describes it as "Cryptococcus neoformans var. grubii H99 hypothetical RNA". The record is from RNAcentral. Lineage: Eukaryota; Fungi; Basidiomycota; Tremellomycetes; Tremellales; Cryptococcaceae.
CUUGGAAAGCCUUGUUGGGAUUGCGCAUGCUUCGCAGACCUUUAGCGGGUCAUAUGGAACCGUCUGGGCGCUUCCAAGCUGUUUCCAUACGUAGUAUUAUUGAAGUGCUCGCGAUUGAUAAUGACUACAGCCGCUGGAUAGUCCAAUCAACCAAGACCUUUCCUGUACCACGAGAGUUCGAAAUAUACUCCGCCUUCGUCAAUCGCACAUUAGGGACAAUAACAGCACUCACAUCCCUCCUGUUUGUGUCGAUGUUAAAGGUCAGGUUCGGUACUGAGACGAGGACAAUAACCCGGGCAUUAAUGUGCUUGCCUUGUCGCUGUUGCGUAUUAACGUACUUGUCGCUUUCACCUUCGAUCUUCGGUUUCUGCCACUUGUGGUUAGAGACGUGAACAAAUAUAUUGGUAAUCCAAGAGCUCGAUCACCUGACUGACAAGGAAUAGCCCAACUGCGACGCCCUGCGGGCUCCAUACCGUAAGAUACUGUAUCAUGCCCCUCUCCGGGAUGCCAGGGAAAACCUUCGGUAUUUUUGAAGAGCGUGGAAUAUACUGCAGUAAUCACUGGCGUUAUUUUGUCGGUACAGAUCUCAUCAUAACGCAAAAGGGACUCUCCAAUCGUGGCCAUAUUACACAGCUCCGCACUGAAUGCGUUUCGGAGUGCUCAAAAGACAUUUCCCUACCCUUUCGCGUGGCAUGCCUUUCCCGUCUCAGAGUUACAAAGUCACCCCACAGCUUACGCGGAAGAGGAGCAGAUCGGGGCUGUGCGCAAAGAUCUCAUCAGCAGAAACCCGUCGCGCAGCAGCGGUUUGAGGAGAAUGUCCGAAAUUAAACCCGUUAAGAACGUUCUUUUCUCGGUUAAAUUCCUUCAUAAUGUGGCUGGCCACUCCCCAAAUAGCUCUCUAUACAGCUCCCUUACUUAUUGGCAAUCCAUAGCUACCUUUGUCCUUUAUUAAAGGAAAACUUGGGUAACGACGGCUUGUCACGGAAUCAUUGAUUCACCAGCGGCAUUUCCUUCUGGUUAUUGCGCCACAGUUUACAAUCCCAACACGUCAAGAAGAAACUCCAGCAACUCAAGCUUCUUUUGAAUACCGCCCCUAUCUUCUCAGCCUGCCUAUCUAGUUAUCGUACAUUACCAAAUUCUCGCCCAGAUUCUCCACUCAUAUACCAGGGCCUUCAAUCUAUGUACAUUUGCCUUAUCAGCGUGCGAAUAUCGCGCAGAAGGGAAAGUGGGAAAUUUUAUUGAGGGUACGGAGGAGAAAGUUAAGCAAGAUGAAAAGGAGGAAGGUCGAAUGCACCACGACAAUCUUAGAGACAAAAUAAUAGGAGGAGCAAAGUACGGUCAGCCAAAGCAAGGAAUGCGAGUGCAAGCCAAAGUCUAGUGGGAAUGAAUGGCAAUGGGAGAAAAAGGAGUUGCCCAAGUCUUUCGGAAUCCAGGGCUGGCACGGUUCAGAAAGGCGGCGGGGUUGUCAUUUCCAUCUUCCUUCCGUGGUGGGCUUCUCUACUCGUAUCCUGGGGUUCCCGUGAAUUACCGUUGCAAAUGUUACAUUGUAUCCCAUUUGAUCAUCGACCGUCAUAUGGUAGGCAGGAAGCUAUACUGACACACUCACCGUUCGAGCCAUCCACCGCAACGGGGACGUCGUCGACCAGAACAUUGCCUGAAGCUUGAUAGCCACCACCAACUUCGACCACUUCUCCUUCUCACCCUCAAAGAUCCUUACCGCCGAGGUCUUCAUGAUAUUUGUCGAGGAAAGCACAUAGGGCUGCCAUCGUCAUCAACCGUGAUGUCACCGAGUGUCUCCUUCAAGCUUGUCAGGAUGGAGGUGGGAGCUGGGGCCGGUCUAGUUUGUUCAAGUGUACUAUUCUCAGGCGAGACGG